This is a long non-coding RNA of Polyodon spathula (Mississippi paddlefish), 1246 nucleotides long. RefSeq lists it as uncharacterized. Lineage: Eukaryota; Metazoa; Chordata; Actinopteri; Acipenseriformes; Polyodontidae. The record is from RefSeq and is a predicted model, not a curated record. The transcript is spliced from 5 exons.
UCUAUUCUUGGACAUACAUUUUAAGGUAUGUUCAUGGUCCUGCUAUGCUAACACCACCAUAUUUAAAAACGAAACUAGGUGGCAGACAAAUGUCAGAAAAAUGCCUAAGGGCCAGAAACACUUCCUAGCAAAUUCAUCUUGUGUUGCGGCCACUAGAGAGCUGUGUAGAUGGGUGCAUCUAUUACUUUUGACUGAGAAAGUGUCAAUAAAACUGACCUCAUCUGACCUGGUGCAAGCUGGAGCUGUCUGAUAAAAAUGUUGCUGACACACAGAGAUAAGCCAGCAACUAAGGGGUAUAAAAACUAUAAAAACAGCAGGUACAUGGAUGUGCAUUUGAGAAGCAUCAAGAUCAUGAAUACUCUGCAACGGCGAGUCCGAUGCUUCUUCCAGGAAUUGAAUAUCAAACUGUAAGCCGCCUUUGCUGGAAAUCCCUCCUGUGACGUCACUGGUUGAAGAAGGCAGCGGGAGAAGUAGGUGAACAGCACGGCGCUUAUUAGAGACCUGGCAAGUAUUGGAGACCGGCGAUUGUUUGAAGUUUUACGGAAUUAUCGUAUGUACAUGCCUGAUGUGUCUGCCUUUGUUCAAAGCUGUAACUGAAAACUGUCAGUGAGUGAUAUUACAGUUACAAGCAGCUGUUUGGAUGUCUUAUGGCCACUCAAGUAAGCAGUUCAAGUGUGAUAUGGAUUGGGAUAUCAGGCCUUAUGGAAGCAUUCCACUUUGUAAGCAGUGGCGCUAUACAGAACUAAUAGCUGACAAGAAUUACAUUUUAUAAUGCCUUUGUGCACAUGAGUGUUGCAAAGCUGUGGCUUCGGCUCAAAGUUCAUCUGCUCAAUGGGAGUUGGAAGUCUGGAGAUAGAAACCAAUAAUGUGGGGCAAACGCAUUGAAAACUAGGAACUUAUAGAUGUUUAGAAACACUUCUAACUGUGACCCAUCUUGAAAGAUGAAGUAGCAGAAGCGUCAUUAACACAACAAACACACCUGAAGCCUGUCAUCCUCAGUUUCCAGCAGUUAACUGAUUUAUGUUAUUGUACUUUGUUUUUGCCUUCAAUAGCCCCAGGGGUCUACACUUUAUUAGACUUUGUAAUUUGAACAGAUAAUUAUCCAGGUUACACUCCUGCAAUAAAUUAAUAUAGAAAUAUAAUGUUUCAAACCAGUAUUCCACUGGUCCUUGGAAAGAGAAUAAUGUAAAGAAUGUAUAAUUCACACAGUCAUAUUUUAUUGGAUUCUGUAUUAUAUUUAAUAAAA